Molecule: ribosomal RNA, 497 nt
Filed under: uncultured bacterium
Lineage: Bacteria
Description: partial 16S ribosomal RNA
Rfam family: Bacterial small subunit ribosomal RNA
Source: RNAcentral
GACGAACGCUGGCGGCGUGCCUAAUACAUGCAAGUUGAGCGAGGAAGAUUGGUGCUUGCACCAAUUUGAAGAGCAGCGAACGGGUGAGUAACGCGUGGGGAAUCUGCCUAUGAGCGGGGGACAACAUUUGGAAACGAAUGCUAAUACCGCAUAACAACUUUAAACAUAAGUUUUAAGUUUGAAAGAUGCAAUUGCAUCACUCAAAGAUGAUCCCGCGUUGUAUUAGCUAGUUGGUGAGGUAAAGGCUCACCAAGGCGAUGAUACAUAGCCGACCUGAGAGGGUGAUCGGCCACAUUGGGACUGAGACACGGCCCAAACUCCUACGGGAGGCAGCAGUAGGGAAUCUUCGGCAAUGGACGAAAGUCUGACCGAGCAACGCCGCGUGAGUGAAGAAGGUUUUCGGAUCGUAAAACUCUGUUGGUAGAGAAGAACGUUGGUGAGAGUGGAAAGCUCAUCAAGUGACGGUAACUACCCAGAAAGGGACGGCUAACUACGUG